GAUGAACGCUGGCGGCGUGCCUAAUACAUGCAAGUCGAGCGAACGGACGCUAAGCUUGUUUCUCUGAUGUUAGCGGCGGACGUGUGUGUAACACGUGUAUACCCUCCCUAUCUUACUGGUAUAUCUUCGGGAAUCCGGAGCUUAUACCGUAUAAUAUUUUGCACCGCAUUGUUCAAAAGUGAAAUACGGUCUUUCUGUCUCUUCUAGAUGUAUCCCCGCUGCAUUAGCUAGUUGGUAAGGUAACGGCUUACCAAGGCAACGAUGCAUAGCCGACCUGAGAGGGUGAUCGGACACAGUGGAAGUGAGACAGGGACAAGAGUACUACGGGAGGGAGCAGUAGGGAAUCUUAGGCAAUGGGGGAAAGCAUGACGGAGCAAGGCCGCGUGAGUGAUGAAGGUCUUGGGAUCGUAAAACUCUGUUAUUAGGGAAGAACAUAUGUGUAAGUAAAUGAGGAGAUAGUGACGGUAACUAAUCAGAAAGCAACGGCUAACUACGUG
Molecule: ribosomal RNA, 497 nt
Filed under: uncultured bacterium
Lineage: Bacteria
Description: partial 16S ribosomal RNA
Rfam family: Bacterial small subunit ribosomal RNA
Source: RNAcentral